GCCAUUGGCCUUAGGGCUGUAUUUAAGCCUGGGCUCUAAUUUUCUUUAUUGGAAAUGUGUUUGGGAUAUGGUGGGUUUUGGUUGUGACUUUUACUUUUAUUCAGCUUUUUACUUCACAUAUUUUGCUUCUAAUCAUAUUUUCUGCCUAUGGACUUGUCUUGUGUAUAGAAUUAGAAUAUAUCUUCCCUUUUGCUUUGUAGUACUUACUGGUGAACCCGUUAGCAGUCCUUUGUUGGCUGGUACUGCACAGCAGUGCCUACAUUGAUAGUUAUUCCUCCCUGGCAGUGACACCUCAGUGUCAAUAUGUGUUUUGUGCCUGUAGAACUGAUGUGUCUGGUCCGUGCUUUGUUCAGAAGAUAUUAGGAGCAUUGAUAGUAAAAGGGUGGAUGGACAGUAGGAUGCAAAGUAGCCAAUGAGAGCUGGAACCUGAAGUGACUCUACAGAAUACAAUGAUGCUUCAGCAGAUUUGCACUGGUUGACCUUUCAGUUGAAGUUGCUAAUUUAAACUUCACUGCCUUAAGAGUUUUGCAUUUAAACUUAUCCUACCUUACGAAAAUUCUCUGACUUGGUCUAGCUAGACCUCUUUGCA
This is a long non-coding RNA of Columba livia (rock pigeon), 589 nucleotides long. RefSeq lists it as uncharacterized. The transcript has 3 exons. The record is from RefSeq and is a predicted model, not a curated record. Lineage: Eukaryota; Metazoa; Chordata; Aves; Columbiformes; Columbidae.